Molecule: unclassified non-coding RNA, 809 nt
Filed under: Hevea brasiliensis (rubber tree)
Lineage: Eukaryota; Viridiplantae; Streptophyta; Magnoliopsida; Malpighiales; Euphorbiaceae
Source: RNAcentral
UGAAUUUUAACACUCACCCCCCCAAUUCCCAAAUUUUUCUUCAAAAAAUGGCGAUCGCUUAUCUACGGAGAUUUGCUUCACGAAUCGCUCGAAACACUUCUCUAUCAUCCUCCUUCGGAUCCUCAAUCGCUCGAUCUUCCGCUUCAUCGUCGUCGCCGUCGGCUUCCGCCAAGGUCGCCGAUCGGAUUGUCAAGCUAUCAGCUGUCGAUCCAGACGGUAACAAACGCGAUGUUGUCGGACUCUCGGGUCAAACACUGCUCAAAGCACUAACGAAUCAGGGGUUAAUUGACCCAGAUUCUCAUCGGCUUGAAGAUAUCGAUGCUUGUUCAGCUGAAUGUGAGGUACACAUUGCUCAGGAAUGGCUCGAGAAGCUUCCACCAGCUUCGUAUGAUGAAAAGUAUGUUUUGAAGAGGAAUUCUAGAGCUAGGGUUUUGAACAAGCACUCUAGGCUUGGAUGUCAGGUGGUUCUUUCCCAGGAACUUCAAGGUAUGGUUGUGGCACUUCCUGAACCCAAGCCUUGGGAUAUCCCGUAAGGUGAAAUGAAAAUUUGUUGAGGUUUUUGAAUUGGAAUUUUAGUGUUUUGUGAUAAUAAUAAUAAUAUAUGGAAACUUUUGGUACUUGAUGAUGUUUCUUUUUUAAUUACUCAGUAUGUUAAGCCAUUGGAAUGUUCCCAAUUCGAAGUAAGUGGCAAUAUGAUGUCGAAACUGUUUGAAGUUCACAACUUUGUUUGUUUUAAUUUUGAAAUGAAUGAUUUCCCAUUUCAUGUUAUAUCCUUGUAAGAAUGUAUUGCUAUACUUAUCUGACAAUUA